UCCUACGGGAGGCUGCAGUGGGGAAUUUUGGACAAUGGGCGCAAGCCUGAUCCAGCCAUGCCGCGUGAGUGAAGAAGGCCUUCGGGUUGUAAAGCUCUUUCGGCCGGGAAGAAAUCGGCUGGGUUAAUACCCCAGCUGGAUGACGGUACCGGAAUAAGAAGCACCGGCUAACUACGUGCCAGCAGCCGCGGUAAUACGUAGGGUGCGAGCGUUAAUCGGAAUUACUGGGCGUAAAGCGUGCGCAGGCGGUUUUGUAAGACAGGCGUGAAAUCCCCGGGCUCAACCUGGGAACUGCGCUUGUGACUGCAAGGCUAGAGUAUGGCAGAGGGGGGUGGAAUUCCACGUGUAGCAGUGAAAUGCGUAGAGAUGUGGAGGAACACCGAUGGCGAAGGCAGCCCCCUGGGCCAAUACUGACGCUCAUGCACGAAAGCGUGGGUAGCAAACAGGAUUAGAUACCCCGGUAGUC
This 466-nucleotide ribosomal RNA is filed under the name uncultured Dechloromonas sp. RNAcentral's name for it is "bacterial SSU rRNA". It matches the Rfam family "Bacterial small subunit ribosomal RNA", at positions 337 to 795 of the family's 1533-position model. The record is from RNAcentral. Lineage: Bacteria; Pseudomonadati; Pseudomonadota; Betaproteobacteria; Rhodocyclales; Azonexaceae.